Molecule: ribosomal RNA, 253 nt
Filed under: uncultured bacterium
Lineage: Bacteria
Description: partial 16S ribosomal RNA
Rfam family: Bacterial small subunit ribosomal RNA
Source: RNAcentral
UCCAGAGGGUGCGAGCGUUAAUCGGAAUUACUGGGCGUAAAGCGCACGUAGGCGGCUUGGCAUGUCGGGUGUGAAAUCCCCGGGCUCAACCUGGGAACUGCAUCCGAAACUGCCUUGCUAGAGUAUGGGAGAGGGAAGUGGAAUUUCCGGUGUAGCGGUGAAAUGCGUAGAUAUCGGAAGGAACAUCAGUGGCGAAGGCGACUUCCUGGACCAAUACUGACGCUCAGGUGCGAAAGCGUGGGGAGAAAACAGG